RNAcentral lists this ribosomal RNA (492 nucleotides) under uncultured bacterium. Its description in RNAcentral is "partial 16S ribosomal RNA". It matches the Rfam family "Bacterial small subunit ribosomal RNA", at positions 29 to 507 of the family's 1533-position model. The record is from RNAcentral.
AGUGAACGCUGGCGGUAGGCCUAACACAUGCAAGUCGAACGGCAGCACAGUAAGAGCUUGCUCUUACGGGUGGCGAGUGGUGGACGGGUGAGGAAUACAUCGGAAUCUACUUUUUCGUGGGGGAUAACGUAGGGAAACUUACGCUAAUACCGCAUACGACCUACGGGUGAAAGCAGGGGAUCUUCGGACCUUGCGCGAUUGAAUGAGCCGAUGUCGGAUUAGCUAGUUGGCGGGGUAAAGGCCCACCAAGGCGACGAUCCAUAGCUGGUCUGAGAGGAUGAUCAGCCACACUGGAACUGAGACACGGUCCAGACUCCUACGGGAGGCAGCAGUGGGGAAUAUUGGACAAUGGGCGCAAGCCUGAUCCAGCCAUACCGCGUGGGUGAAGAAGGCCUUCGGGUUGUAAAGCCCUUUUGUUGGGAAAGAAAAGCAGCAGGUUAAUACCCCGCUGUUCUGACGGUACCCAAAGAAUAAGCACCGGCUAACUUCGUG